RNAcentral lists this long non-coding RNA (2659 nucleotides) under Olea europaea subsp. europaea. The record is from RNAcentral. Lineage: Eukaryota; Viridiplantae; Streptophyta; Magnoliopsida; Lamiales; Oleaceae.
UGUAGCCCCAACACUCGAUGAUCAGGGACAAAAAUUUGACAAUUCUUUUGGACAGAAUUCAUCAAAAAGAACUAAUUGUGUCAAGAAUGCAAAGGUUGGAGAUCAUUUUCACUAAGAUUUAAAGGUUUGGACAAGGGGUUGAAAAGCGGAGCAAUUCGUUCACCAGCUCAGCUCGUGCCUAGACAAGCUGUGAGCAUGAUAGAGCAGUGAGCUGCUGGUCAACUCGCAUGAGCUGCCUCUAGAGACGACGAGCUAGCUUGUGACGAGCCCUCGAGCAACUUGCUCAUUUUCUUGCAAUCCGAGAUCAUUCUCUACUCGCCCCAUGCAUGCAGAACAUAAAUUAAUGGCAGAUGCCAUUUUGAUUUGAAAUGGCAGUUCCCAUUUCUUUUUUCAAUGGCGAUGGCUGAGGCCAUGUGCAGUAAUGCCAUUUUCAGCAUACUGUCAUUGAGUAACAAAAUUUUGUUACACCUCUUCUAAAGGUUUCAAGUCACGAUCACAUGGCAGUCAGGUAACAAAUUCAAUCAGGCUCUCACUUCAUGUUAUCAUCCCACGUGUCUGAACUGAGGUCAUAAAUAAGGUAGCUAAAGUGAUGUAUCAACCAGUGGCGGAACGGGAAUAGGGCCUUGUGGGUCAUGUGAUCUAUCAUCAUUGGUUUGACCUCUGCUCUCCGGUCUCCCUCAAUCCCUGUCCUAUGUAUGCCGGGUUGACCGGGGAGGCCAUGAUGUGAGGAGGGCCCACGACGAGUAAAAUAAUCGUGAACCCUCCUCUUGUGAGAGGAUCGGUACACCGUCAACCCCAGUGUACGAGUAGACAAACCCAAUGGAGAAUCGUUGACUCCUGACACUCAAACAGGAAUCAGGAAAUUUUUUUUGCUUUUUAUAUUGAUAGGAAACCUCUCCAUCGUCCGUCCCCGCUUGAACUCCGUACGUUCCACCUCACUCUCAUUUCAGACCAGGUCAGUUUUCUCUCUCUUUCUUCAUUUUUCUCUCUCUACAGUUUAUACACAUAGAGUCACAGAAACGGAACCCUCCUCAGAGACAAUUUAUUCCUAAUUUUUAAGAAUUGAAAUGGAUUUUCCAAUAAUAUAUGUUUGAUUUAAAUCAGGGAGGAGGACUUUUUUUAUUUUUGUUUUGAUUUAUGAAUUAGUGGAAAUUUAGUAAUCUGGAUGUGAAAUUGUGAAUUAUGUUGUGUUCUAUACACCAUUUACAUAGUUUAUUGUGAAUAUGAACUUUUCAAGUUUAGUGUAUGCAUCUCAGUUUUGACUACAUGCCUACCAUUAGCUGUAAAUCCCGUUCAAGUGUCAUUGCCUAAAUUAACCCUAAAUUUGUAUAUGUAUUAUGCUGAUUGCUUGCUUUUGAUUGUUUUGAUUGAUUAUUUAUAUUAAUUAUGAACAAAUACUUUAGAUGUAAAUUUGCGUUUUUUAGUGAUGAGAAAAAUAAUGAAAGGAUCUAAGAAAAUGAAUAAUGCUGCUUGGCCGGGGUGAUUGACGGAAGAUUGGGUGAUAUGGUGCUGUGGCAACAAUUGAUUGGAUUUUGUGUUUUUUUUUUUAAUUAAAAAAAAAUGCCAAUUAUGUGUUGACAUGUGUCUCCCUAUUUUUAAUUCUAUUAUUAAGUCUAUCACUAUAGCAAGGCUGUGAGAAAAUUGUAACAAUUUUCACAACUUUUUUUGUAAGUUCAAUUGUGUCCAUCUAACUUAAAAUAUUUGUGUCCGUCACUGACAUCCCCUCCUCUGAGUUGUCAUGUAGAAGCUAACCCUCCAUGGCCUAGGCAAGGUACUGUAACUUGUUGCAAAAGUGAUCCAAGGAAAUUAGCCUCUUUAUUAAUGGAACAUAUUUCAUAUUUUACCAGUUUUAAGAGAUCUUUCGUACGAGAUAUUUUUAUGAUUGAUUAUUGUGACAUUUCUACAAUAGUCACCUAAACAGUCAACUUAUCAAUUUAUUUUUUUGAGGUCAAAUCUAGGCUCUAUAGUAGCUACUUUUUCGAGAUAUUAAAUGUCAAUAAUCCUAAGAUUGAUGGAGUGACACCUAGCAGGAGACACCUGGACCUCGACCAUGAGAAUGAUGUCACGUGUCUUUCCAUUCAACAAUGAUAAUUUUUCAUUUUCUACUACAAAAGCUCACACUCAUUUGGAGGUAAUAUAAAAUACACUCAACUAUAAUAUUGUUCUCUCGUUUUUACUUUCUAUAAAUCCCUGGUUUCCAAGCACUUUUGUGACUCACAUCUUCAACACGUCCCAUACCCAAAUACGCUAUAAAAGUUGACCGACUUGACUGUCGGAGUACACGGAGUUGCCUCCUCCAUCAUAAGAGAAUGUUACAUGUUGAUAAUGAUUUAUCCAAGUGUGCAGAAGUUUAGCUAUGUGGACAUGAGUGAAAUCGGGAUUUGCUGGCCACGUCAUCCGUGUAUGAAUUGAGGUCAACCCACAAUCUCUGUACUAUUUAGCCACAGUUAACAAUAUAAUUUUACAACUAUCACUCUCCGAAUUUAACAAUAUUAUCACUCUCUUGAUUUCACAAUUUCGACGAAGAUAAUAUUUUGACAACUACUUAUAUUUUUGUUUUUGCGUUAUUUUACCUUAUUUUACGUAAUGGCUAGGUCAUCAUCAUAUUUUUGGAACAAAGAUAGUUGUUCAGUUUCUUAUCUAAUUUUUCGAAGAUCCA